Molecule: ribosomal RNA, 765 nt
Filed under: uncultured bacterium
Lineage: Bacteria
Description: bacterial SSU rRNA
Rfam family: Bacterial small subunit ribosomal RNA
Source: RNAcentral
GACGAACGCUGGCGGCGCGCCUAACACAUGCAAGUCGAACGAGCGAGAGAGAGCUUGCUUUCUCGAGCGAGUGGCGAACGGGUGAGUAACGCGUGAGGAACCUGCCUCAAAGAGGGGGACAACAGUUGGAAACGACUGCUAAUACCGCAUAAGCCCAUGGGUCGGCAUCGACCAGAGGGAAAAGGAGCAAUCCGCUUUGAGAUGGCCUCGCGUCCGAUUAGCUAGUUGGUGAGGUAAUGGCCCACCAAGGCAACGAUCGGUAGCCGGACUGAGAGGUUGAACGGCCACAUUGGGACUGAGACACGGCCCAGACUCCUACGGGAGGCAGCAGUGGGGAAUAUUGCACAAUGGGGGAAACCCUGAUGCAGCGACGCCGCGUGGAGGAUGAAGGUCUUCGGAUUGUAAACUCCUGUUGUUGAGGAAGAUAAUGACGGUACUCAACAAGGAAGUGACGGCUAACUACGUGCCAGCAGCCGCGGUAAAACGUAGGUCACAAGCGUUGUCCGGAAUUACUGGGUGUAAAGGGAGCGCAGGCGGGAAGACAAGUUGGAAGUGAAAUCUAUGGGCUCAACCCAUAAACUGCUUUCAAAACUGUUUUUCUUGAGUAGUGCAGAGGUAGGCGGAAUUCCCGGUGUAGCGGUGGAAUGCGUAGAUAUCGGGAGGAACACCAGUGGCGAAGGCGGCCUACUGGGCACCAACUGACGCUGAGGCUCGAAAGUGUGGGUAGCAAACAGGAUUAGAUACCCUGGUAGUCCACACCGUAAA